AAAUCAAUCCAAAAGAAUUAUGCGAAAAAUUCGGAUCGAGAAAGAACGAAAACUCAUUGAUCGAGUUCAUACCUUCAACCAUUGAUGUUGUUCUAGAAGCUCUCUUUUUUGUUCCAGAUGAUGGUACUUCUAAAUUCUCAACACUCUAAAACUGAUGGUUUAUAUUGUGUAUUUUCGACCAUGAUUGAGCUUAUGGACCAAACCCCUUUAUAUAGAGCCAAGCUUCCAUCAAAUUAUGGUUAUAGUUACCCUCCAAUUGAUAGUGAAAUUGAAUUUCAUGAAUGCUGAAUUGAAGCUUAAUAAAUGUUGAAACUGAAACUAUGAUGUUGGACCAUUAAUAGAGAAACAGGUGUUACAUUUGGUGUAAAGUUCACGAGUCACGACUAUGAAUUGAGGCAGAUGGGUUCUUCCCGCUAUAGCCAAACCCCCUUUUUAUUUCCCUUAUUUUUAUUUUCUUUUAUUUAUUCCCUGCAUAUACAUCAAUUGAUUAGGGACGUUUAUGUCUUUAGGUGGUUUAGGGGUUUUGGUUUCUUAAGUUUACUAGUUAUUAGGGGUUUUGGUUUCUUAAGUUUACUAGUUAAACAUCCUUAAGAUUUUGUCAUUUUCUUUGUUAGUAUAGUGGAUACAUGUUUUAUAUUAAUUAUUUAGUAUUAAUUGUUUUGAAGAACAUCACGAUUCAAAUAGAUUAGGAGAAACUAGGCUGCAAACAAAGA
RNAcentral lists this small RNA (713 nucleotides) under Olea europaea subsp. europaea. Lineage: Eukaryota; Viridiplantae; Streptophyta; Magnoliopsida; Lamiales; Oleaceae. The record is from RNAcentral.